UAAGGUUUCUCUGAAAAUCCCUA
This 23-nucleotide non-coding RNA is filed under the name Arabidopsis thaliana (thale cress). The record is from RNAcentral. Lineage: Eukaryota; Viridiplantae; Streptophyta; Magnoliopsida; Brassicales; Brassicaceae.